CAGCACAGUGCCUGCAGACAUGCUGUCACUGCUCCACGCAUCAACGCUGGCAGUCCUUGGGGCUUUGUGUGUAUAUGGUGCAGGUCACCUAGAGCAACCUCAAAUUUCCAGUACUAAAACGCUGUCAAAAACAGCCCGCCUGGAAUGUGUGGUGUCUGGAGUAACAAUUUCUGCAACAUCUGUAUAUUGGUAUCGAGAAAGACCUGGUGAAGUCGUACAGUUCCUGGUGUCCAUUUCAUAUGACGGCACUGUCAGAAAGGAAUCCGGCGUUCCAUCAGGCAAAUUUGAGGUGGAUAGGGUACCUGAAACAUCUACAUCCACUCUCACCAUUCACAAUGUAGAGAAACAGGACAUAGCUACCUACUACUGUGCCUUGUGGGAGUUGGGCAAAAAAAUCAAGGUAUUUGGUCCCGGAACAAAGCUCAUCAUUACAGAUAAACAUCUUGAUGCAGAUGUUUCCCCCAAGCCCACUAUUUUUCUUCCUUCAAUUGCUGAAACAAACCUCCAUAAGGCUGGAACCUACCUUUGUCUUCUUGAGACAUUUUUCCCGGAUGUUAUUAAGAUACAUUGGCAAGAAAAGAAGAGCAACACAAUUCUGGGAUCACAGGAGGGGAACACCAUGAAGACUAACGACACAUACAUGAAAUUUAGCUGGUUAACGGUGCCAGAAAAGUCACUGGACAAAGAACACAGAUGUAUCGUCAGACAUGAGAAUAAUAAAAACGGAGUUGAUCAAGAAAUUAUCUUUCCUCCAAUAAAGACAGAUGUCAUCACAAUGGAUCCCAAAGACAAUUGUUCAAAAGAUGCAAAUUAUGCACUACUGCUGCAGCUCACAAAUACCUCUGCAUGUUACACGUACCUGCUCCUGUUCCUCAAGAGUGUGGUCUAUUUUGCCAUCAUCGCCUUCUGUCUGCUUAGAAGAACGGCUGUCUGCUGCAAUGGAGUGAAAUCGUAACAGACGGUGGCACAAGG
Non-coding RNA from Pongo pygmaeus (Bornean orangutan), 972 nucleotides. The record is from the annotation of a RefSeq genome assembly. Lineage: Eukaryota; Metazoa; Chordata; Mammalia; Primates; Hominidae.